RNAcentral lists this transfer RNA (90 nucleotides) under Stutzerimonas frequens. RNAcentral describes it as "tRNA-Gly". The record is from RNAcentral. Lineage: Bacteria; Pseudomonadati; Pseudomonadota; Gammaproteobacteria; Pseudomonadales; Pseudomonadaceae.
AUCGGCUGGAAGGUGCCGGAGUUACGCAGGUCGUUGCCGAUGAUCUCGGCCAUGUCUUCCGGCAAGACGGUUCCACCUUGCCAGCCGAAC